RNAcentral lists this ribosomal RNA (433 nucleotides) under uncultured bacterium. Its description in RNAcentral is "partial 16S ribosomal RNA". It matches the Rfam family "Bacterial small subunit ribosomal RNA", at positions 29 to 507 of the family's 1533-position model. The record is from RNAcentral.
AACGAACGCUGGCGGCAUGCCUAACACAUGCAAGUCGAACGAACCCUUCGGGGUUAGUGGCGCACGGGUGCGUAACGCGUGGGAAUCUGCCCUUUGCUUCGGAAUAACUCAGGGAAACUUGUGCUAAUACCGGAUGAUGUCUUCGGACCAAAGAUUUAUCGGCAAGGGAUGAGCCCGCGUAGGAUUAGGUAGUUGGUGGGGUAAAGGCCUACCAAGCCGACGAUCCUUAGCUGGUCUGAGAGGAUGAUCAGCCACACUGGGACUGAGACACGGCCCAGACUCCUACGGGAGGCGGCAGUGGGGAAUAAUGGACAAUGGGCGCAAGCCUGAUCCAGCAAGGCCGCGUGAGUGAUGAAGGCCCUCGGGUCGUAAAGCUCUUUUACCAGGGAUGAUAAUGACAGUACCUGGAGAAUAAGCGCCGGCUAACUCCGUG